RNAcentral lists this ribosomal RNA (475 nucleotides) under uncultured bacterium. RNAcentral describes it as "bacterial SSU rRNA". It matches the Rfam family "Bacterial small subunit ribosomal RNA", at positions 28 to 507 of the family's 1533-position model. The record is from RNAcentral.
GAUGAACGCUGGCGGCGUGCCUAACACAUGCAAGUCGAACGAAGCGCUUCGAUUUCUUCGGAAUGAAAAAGUGACUGAGUGGCGGACGGGUGAGUAACGCGUGGGUAACCUGCCUCAUACAGGGGGAUAACAGUUAGAAAUGGCUGCUAAUACCGCAUAAGCGCACAGUACCGCAUGGUACCGUGUGAAAAACUCCGGUGGUAUGAGAUGGACCCGCGUCUGAUUAGCUAGUUGGUAAGGUAACGGCUUACCAAGGCGACGAUCAGUAGCCGGACUGAGAGGUUGAUCGGCCACAUUGGGACUGAGACACGGCCCAGACUCCUACGGGAGGCAGCAGUGGGGAAUAUUGCACAAUGGAGGAAACUCUGAUGCAGCGACGCCGCGUGAGGGAAGAAGGCCUUCGGGUUGUAAACUUCUUUUAGCAGGGACGAAGGACGUGACGGUACCUGCAGAAAAAGCAACGGCUAACUACGUG